CAGUAUCGUAGAGGUCCAGCGGGCUCUUAUAGAGGACCUGAGACCUCCGUGCUCAUUGUCAACGGAUGCAGGUGCUCAUGUGGGUCCCACAGAUUCCAGCAGAUCCGCCACCAGCUCUAGCUCGGUAGACAAGAACAACUUUCAAUGUCUCCCCUCCAUUUGUCUGGCCUCCUCCCCCCAACUUCUCUCUCACCCAGCCAGCGUUUCCCCCAGUGUGUCCUCCUAUAGCUCUGGGACGGGGCAGUCUGUCUAGUGCCUGCCUCCUUCCUCUGGUCACCCUUCAGAGCCGGCAGUCAGGGGGAGAGAGAAGAGGAACCUGACGCCUGAGCAGAGGCGACAGACAGCUGGCCAAAAAGGCACAAUGAAGUCCCAGCCUCAAAAGCACUGUCAACAGAAGGGCUUUACAUCAGGACAUCAUCCAGGAGGAAGCAACGUCUGUGUGUAAAUGACCGUGUGGUCAUGGAGAGAAGGAGAGGAGGAACUGGAAGAUUCAUCGGACCACUGGACGACAUAGACACUGCAGACAUCUAUAUCGGAGGGGAACUGGACACAGCCAGUGGAGAAAAUGAUGGAGGCCUCCACUGUAUCAGAUCUCUCGGUCACCCCACUCCUCCAAAGCCCCAGACAACAACGGUAAUGACUCUGGGUUGACUGCAGGGAGGGACGGCCUGGGUGUUGGGAGAGAAGGUGGCAAGAGACUCGGACGUACCUGGAACCAGAUGGACAUCAGAGCUCUCAUUCAUUCAGACCUAGGAGCACCAGUGGUCAACCCAGGACCAGACUGACAGAACUGAUUAAGCACUUAUCUAGGGCUGACAACUCUGACCU
This is a long non-coding RNA of Esox lucius (northern pike), 828 nucleotides long. RefSeq lists it as uncharacterized. The record is from RefSeq and is a predicted model, not a curated record. The transcript is spliced from 6 exons. NCBI's taxonomy places the organism in Eukaryota, Metazoa, Chordata, Actinopteri, Esociformes, Esocidae.